RNAcentral lists this ribosomal RNA (450 nucleotides) under uncultured bacterium. RNAcentral's name for it is "bacterial SSU rRNA". It matches the Rfam family "Bacterial small subunit ribosomal RNA", at positions 354 to 796 of the family's 1533-position model. The record is from RNAcentral.
GUGGGGAAUUUUGGACAAUGGGCGCAAGCCUGAUCCAGCAAUGCCGCGUGUGUGAAGAAGGCCUUCGGGUUGUAAAGCACUUUUGUCCGGAAAGAAAUCUCCUGGGUUAAUACCUCGGGGGGGUGACGGUACCGGAAGAAUAAGCACCGGCUAACUACGUGCCAGCAGCCGCGGUAAUACGUAGGGUGCGAGCGUUAAUCGGAAUUACUGGGCGUAAAGCGUGCGCAGGCGGCUCUGCAAGACAGAUGUGAAAGCCCCGGGCUCAACCUGGGAACUGCAUUUGGGACUGCAAGGCUAGAGUGCGUCAGAGGGAGGUGGAAUUCCACGUGUAGCAGUGAAAUGCGUAGAGAUGUGGAGGAAUACCGAUGGCGAAGGCAGCCCCCUGGGAUAACACUGACGCUCAUGCACGAAAGCGUGGGGAGCAAACAGGAUUAGAUACCCUAGUAGUCC